This 460-nucleotide ribosomal RNA is filed under the name uncultured bacterium. Its description in RNAcentral is "partial 16S ribosomal RNA". It matches the Rfam family "Bacterial small subunit ribosomal RNA", at positions 338 to 795 of the family's 1533-position model. The record is from RNAcentral.
CCUACGGGAGGCAGCAGUGAGGAAUAUUGGUCAAUGGGCGCGAGCCUGAACCAGCCAAGUAGCGUGAAGGAUGACUGCCCUACGGGUUGUAAACUUCUUUUAUAAAGGAAUAAAGUGAGGCACGUGUGCCUUUUUGUAUGUACUUUAUGAAUAAGGAUCGGCUAACUCCGGGCCAGCAGCCGCGGUAAUACGGUGGAUCCGAGCGUUAUCCGGAUUUAUUGGGUUUAAAGGGAGCGUAGAUGGGUUGUUAAGUCAGUUGUGAAAGUUUGCGGCUCAACCGUAAAAUUGCAAUUGAUACUGGCAGACUUGAGUGCAGGUGAGGUAGGCGGAAUUCGAGGUGUAGCGGUGAAAUGCUUAGAUAUCACGAAGAACUCCAAUUGCGAAGGCGGCUUACUAGACUGCCACUGACAUUGAUGCUCGAAAGUGUGGGUAUCAAACAGGAUUAGAUACCCCUGUAGUC